GGAUGUGGGAACGAUCUGGCUGUGACAUCUCUCACUGGUUAAUCACUAGGGUUGAUUUGGUUGAUCUGGCUGGUUAGGCAGAUGUCCCUCCCUCACCACUCUAGGUGCUCAGUUGAAGAGGACAAUCUUUCCCAAAUAGAGGUGGACCAGUCUUUUGAUCACAGUACAUGAGUAGCUGCACUUCAUGCUAGAACUCCCAAACAAGCUCUUGAAAGGUAAAAGUUUUAAAGUUGCCUCCCCCCCCAGACAAAGUUU
This 255-nucleotide small nuclear RNA is filed under the name Rattus norvegicus (Norway rat). RNAcentral's name for it is "7SK RNA". It matches the Rfam family "7SK RNA". Rfam says of the family: 7SK was discovered as an abundant small nuclear RNA in the mid-70s but a possible function has only recently been suggested. Two independent studies have found that 7SK RNA binds the CDK9/cyclin T complex (known as elongation factor P-TEFb). P-TEFb activates transcription by phosphorylating the C-terminal domain of RNA polymerase II. The record is from Rfam by way of RNAcentral. Lineage: Eukaryota; Metazoa; Chordata; Mammalia; Rodentia; Muridae.